ACAUCCCGCGCGGGAGAGUCCCCGCGUGCACCCGGACGGGUCGCACGGCGGGGCGCCGAAGGGGCAAACUCCCCGGAACCUCUCAGGCGCCAGGACUGCGUGGGACAG
This 108-nucleotide non-coding RNA is filed under the name Phycicoccus sp. Its description in RNAcentral is "Glycine sequence". It matches the Rfam family "Glycine riboswitch aptamer". From Rfam's summary of the family: This family represents the bacterial glycine riboswitch. Glycine riboswitches usually consist of two metabolite-binding aptamers domains with similar structures in tandem. The record is from RNAcentral. Lineage: Bacteria; Bacillati; Actinomycetota; Actinomycetes; Micrococcales; Intrasporangiaceae.